RNAcentral lists this ribosomal RNA (1453 nucleotides) under metagenome. Its description in RNAcentral is "bacterial LSU rRNA". It matches the Rfam family "Bacterial large subunit ribosomal RNA", at positions 1447 to 2925 of the family's 2925-position model. The record is from RNAcentral.
AAAGUAAACAGAACUGUGGGGACACGUGUGGAGAGCACAAGCCGGAAAUGGAAAAGCCGGUGCAAGCGAGGUAGGAGAUGAACAGGCAAAUCCGUUCAUCAAUCCGAAGACGUGAUGCGGACCGAAUUAAGAGUAGGGAAGUGUGUGAGCCAUGCGUCAAGAAAAGCCGCUAUUGUUUUACUUAAGCCCGUACCGUAAACCGACACAGGUGGAUGAGGAGAGAAUCCUAAGGCCGACGGGAGAAGCAUUGUUAAGGAACUCGGCAAAAUGACUCCGUAACUUCGGGAGAAGGAGUGCCAGCGAGAGCUGGCCGCAGAGAAUUGGCCCAAGCAACUGUUUAGCAAAAACACAGGUCUAUGCAAAACCGUAAGGUGAAGUAUAUGGGCUGACGCCUGCCCGGUGCUGGAAGGUUAAGAGGAGAGGUUAGCGGCAACGCGAAGCUUUGAAUUUAAGCCCCAGUAAACGGCGGCCGUAACAAUAACGGUCCUAAGGUAGCGAAAUUCCUUGUCGGGUAAGUUCCGACCCGCACGAAAGGCGUAAUGAUUUGGGCACUGUCUCAACAAUGCACCCGGUGAAAUUGAAAUACCAGUGAAGAUGCUGGUUACCUGCGCCAGGACGGAAAGACCCCAUGGAGCUUUACUCCAGCUUGAUACUGGGAUUCGGUAUUGCAUGUACAGGAUAGGUGGGAGGCUAGGAAGUGAUAACGCCAGUUGUCACGGAGCCGCUGUUGGGAUACCACCCUUGCAGUAUUGGAUUUCUAACCAGCGACCAUGAACUGGUCGGGGGACAAUGUCAGGUGGGGAGUUUGACUGGGGCGGUCGCCUCCGAAAGGGUAUCGGAGGCGCUCAAAGGUUCCCCCAGAAUGGACGGAAACCAUUCGAAGAGUGCAAAGGCAGAAGGGAGCUUGACUGCGACACCGACGGGUGGAGCAGGUACGAAAGUAGGACUUAGUGAUCCGGUGGUAUAAAGUGGGAUUGCCAUCGCUCAACGGAUAAAAGCUACCCUGGGAUAACAGGCUUAUCACUCCCAAGAGUUCACAUCGACGGAGUGGUUUGGCACCUCGAUGUCGGCUCAUCGCAUCCUGGGGCUGAAGUAGGUCCCAAGGGUUGGGCUGUUCGCCCAUUAAAGCGGUACGCGAGCUGGGUUCAGAACGUCGUGAGACAGUUCGGUCCCUAUCCGGCGUGGGCGUAGGAUAUUUGAGAGGAGCUGUCCUUAGUACGAGAGGACCGGGAUGGACUGGCCGCUGGUGUAUCUGUUGCAUACCGAAUGCAUGGCAGAGUAGCCAAGCCGGGACGGGAUAAACGCUGAAGGCAUCUAAGCGUGAAGCCCCCCUCAAGAUGAGAUAUCCCUACGUAAGUAGUAAGACCCCUUGAAGACGACGAGGUAGAUAGGUCAGAGGUGAAGUACAGUAAUGUAUGGAGCUGACUGAUACUAAUCGGUCGAGGGCAUGAGC